This 506-nucleotide ribosomal RNA is filed under the name uncultured bacterium. Its description in RNAcentral is "partial 16S ribosomal RNA". It matches the Rfam family "Bacterial small subunit ribosomal RNA", at positions 28 to 523 of the family's 1533-position model. The record is from RNAcentral.
GAUGAACGCUAGCUACAGGCUUAACACAUGCAAGUCGAGGGGUAACGAGAGGGAAGCUUGCUUUCCUUGUCGACGACCGGCGCACGGGUGAGUAACGCGUAUCCAACCUGCCCCCAACUAGGGAAUAACCUUGCGAAAGUGAGACUAAUACCCUAUAAUUUCCUCAGAUGUCAUCUGACGAGGAAUAAAGAUUUAUCGGUUGUGGAUGGGGAUGCGUCUGAUUAGCUUGUUGGCGGGGUAACGGCCCACCAAGGCAACGAUCAGUAGGGGUUCUGAGAGGAAGGUCCCCCACAUUGGGACUGAGACACGGUCCAAACUCCUACGGGAGGCAGCAGUGAGGAAUAUUGGUCAAUGGGCGGAAGCCUGAACCAGCCAAGUAGCGUGCAGGAUGACGGCCCUAUGGGUUGUAAACUGCUUUUAUACAGGAAUAAAGUUAGCCACGUGUGGUUAUUUGUAGGUACUGUAUGAAUAAGGACCGGCUAAUUCCGUGCCAGCCGCCGCAGUAA